Molecule: long non-coding RNA, 734 nt
Organism: Numida meleagris (helmeted guineafowl)
Lineage: Eukaryota; Metazoa; Chordata; Aves; Galliformes; Numididae
Exons: 2
Source: RefSeq, a predicted model, not a curated record
GGUAAAUAGAUAACGAGAACAAAAGGGGAAGACAAGGCAAAACGGAACGGGUGGGUGAAGUUUCUGGUUUAGGAGUUCACAGGAUGGUGAUUUCAGCCGGUGUUUUUUGCUCGCUAAGAGUUUUGUACCAGGGGCUGACCCGCGGUGUUCCCAUCCUUCCUGCGCUACAGGAAGCGAUUCGUGUAUAAGCAACACCGCGGAGUCAAUACCGAGACGUGCCGAGCUGCAGCCGUGCUGCGGGCAGCACCGGAGCCUCAGCACAUUGCAAGCUGGGAGAUGUUAAAAUCUGAGCAAGCUGGAAGGUGAGGUGGAUAACAUGAGCAGAUUCCAAAGAAUAUGCCUAGAAGAAGGCCGCUAACCCUGUUUUUUUGUCUUCAUAAUAAAGGCGUCUCGUUCUCUGAGCGGCAUUUUGUUAGCCAAAUUAUUGUCGCUUUGAAAACUUAUUUCAGCCAGAGAUCCCCAGCUCCGUGCUGCGGCCGUGCCGGGCUGCUCUGAAAGCGCUGCUGUCCGCAGCAAUGCCAGUCAGCUGCGAUUUACUGAAGACCGGCAAGCAGCGCAAGAGACAGCUGGGGCCAUCUGCGCUGAAUGGCGAGUGGGAACGGAGCCUCCUGACCCUGCCUUCCUGCCACUUUCUUCAUUACGUGGCAGGUCAUGCCUCUAGACACUAAAUGCACCAGAACCAAGAAUCGUGUGGGAAGGACUCGGUUUGUUUGCGCUGCAAAAAAAAAAAAAGA